This is a transfer RNA of Astyanax mexicanus (Mexican tetra), 111 nucleotides long. It matches the Rfam family "tRNA". Rfam says of the family: Transfer RNA (tRNA) molecules are approximately 80 nucleotides in length. Their secondary structure includes four short double-helical elements and three loops (D, anti-codon, and T loops). The record is from Rfam. Lineage: Eukaryota; Metazoa; Chordata; Actinopteri; Characiformes; Acestrorhamphidae.
GUCAGAAUGGCCGAGCGGUCUAAGGCGCCAGACUCAAGGUUAUGCCCCUUCUCCAAAACAGAGAGAUUCUGGUCUCCGAAUGGAGGCGUGGGUUCAAAUCCACUUCUGACA